This 74-nucleotide transfer RNA is filed under the name Lachnospiraceae bacterium. RNAcentral describes it as "tRNA-Ile". It matches the Rfam family "tRNA". Rfam says of the family: Transfer RNA (tRNA) molecules are approximately 80 nucleotides in length. Their secondary structure includes four short double-helical elements and three loops (D, anti-codon, and T loops). Lineage: Bacteria; Bacillati; Bacillota; Clostridia; Lachnospirales; Lachnospiraceae. The record is from RNAcentral.
GGACCAUUAACUCAAUUGGUAAGAGUACCCGGCUCAUAACCGGGCGGCUAUAGGUUCGAGUCCUAUAUGGUCCA